This 470-nucleotide ribosomal RNA is filed under the name uncultured bacterium. RNAcentral's name for it is "SSU rRNA". It matches the Rfam family "Bacterial small subunit ribosomal RNA", at positions 26 to 518 of the family's 1533-position model. The record is from RNAcentral.
AGGACGAACGCUGGCGGCGUGCUUAACACAUGCAAGUCGAGCGGAAAGGCCCUUCGGGGUACUCGAGCGGCGAACGGGUGAGUAACACGUGAGUAAUCUGCCCCUAGCUCUGGGAUAGCUCCGGGAAACCGGGAUUAAUACCAGAUACGACCACUUUAGACAUCUUCUGUGGUGGAAAGAACUUCGGCUAGGGAUGAACUCGCGGCCUAUCAGCUUGUUGGUGAGGUAACGGCUCACCAAGGCGACGACGGGUAGCCGGCCUGAGAGGGCGACCGGCCACACUGGGACUGAGACACGGCCCAGACUCCUACGGGAGGCAGCAGUGGGGAAUAUUGCGCAAUGGGCGAAAGCCUGACGCAGCGACGCCGCGUGGGGAUGAAGGCCUUCGGGUUGUAAACCCUUUCAGCAGGGACGAAGCGAAGUGACGGUACCUGCAGAGAAGCGCCGGCUAACUACGUGCCAGCAGCCGC